GUAGGUGGCAAGCGUUGUCCGGAAUUAUUGGGCGUAAAGCGCGCGCAGGUGGGUUCUUUAAGUCUGAUGUGAAAGCCCCCGGGCUCAACCGGGGAGGGUCAUUGGAAACUCGGGGAACUUGAGUGCAGGAGAGGAAAGUGGAAUUCCACGUGUAGCGGUGAAAUGCGUAGAUAUGUGGAGGAACACCAGUGGCGAAGGCGACUUUCUGGCCUGUAACUGACACUGAGGCGCGAAAGCGUGGGGAGCAAACAGGAUUAGAUACCCUGGUAGUCCACGCCGUAAACGAUGAGUGCUAAGUGUUGGGGGGUUUCCGCCCCUCAGUGCUGCAGCUAACGCAUUAAGCACUCCGCCUGGGGAGUACGGUCGCAAAGACUG
RNAcentral lists this ribosomal RNA (375 nucleotides) under uncultured organism. Its description in RNAcentral is "partial 16S ribosomal RNA". It matches the Rfam family "Bacterial small subunit ribosomal RNA", at positions 527 to 896 of the family's 1533-position model. The record is from RNAcentral.